UACGUAGGGGGCAAGCGUUGUUCGGAAUUACUGGGCGUAAAGGGCGCGUAGGCGGCACGGUAAGUCGGGAGUGAAAGCCCGGGGCUCAACCCCGGAACGUCUUUCGAAACUGCCGAGCUAGAGUGCGGAAGAGGCAACUGGAAUUCCCAGUGUAGCGGUGAAAUGCGCAGAUAUCGGGAAGAACACCCGUGGCGAAGGCGGUUCUCUGGGACGGUACUGACGCUGAGACGCGAAAGCGUGGGGAGCGAACAGG
Molecule: ribosomal RNA, 253 nt
Filed under: uncultured bacterium
Lineage: Bacteria
Description: partial 16S ribosomal RNA
Rfam family: Bacterial small subunit ribosomal RNA
Source: RNAcentral